UACGAAGGGGGCUAGCGUUGUUCGGAGUUACUGGGCGUAAAGGGCGCGUAGGCGGCGCACCAAGUCAGGCGUGAAAGCCCUGGGCUCAACCCGGGAAUUGCGCUUGAGACUGGUGUGCUAGAGUACGGGAGAGGAUAGUGGAAUUCCCAGUGUAGAGGUGAAAUUCGUAGAUAUUCGCAAGAACACCAGUGGCGAAGGCGGCUCACUGGCCCGAUACUGACGCUGAGGCACGAAAGCGUGGGGAGCGAACAGG
This 253-nucleotide ribosomal RNA is filed under the name uncultured bacterium. Its description in RNAcentral is "partial 16S ribosomal RNA". It matches the Rfam family "Bacterial small subunit ribosomal RNA", at positions 524 to 776 of the family's 1533-position model. The record is from RNAcentral.